CAGUCGUGAGGAAGGCGGAGUCGUUAAUAGCGGCUCGUUUGACGUUAGCGACAGAAGAAGACACCGGCUAACUCCGUGCCAGCAGCCGCGGUAAUACGGAGGGUGCGAGCGUUAAUCGGAAUUACUGGGCGUAAAGCGCAUGCAGGUGGUUUGUUAAGUUCAGAUGUGAAAGACCCGGGGCGUCAACCUCGGAAUAGCAUUUGAAACUAGGCAGACUAGAGUACUGUAGAGGGGGGUAGGAAGUUUCAGGUGUAGCGGUGAAAUAGCGUAGAGAUCUGAAGGAAUACCGGUGGCGAAGGCGGCCCCCUCGGACAGAUACUGACACUCAGAUGCGAAAGCGUGGGGAGCAAACAGGAUUAGAUACCCUGGUAG
RNAcentral lists this ribosomal RNA (372 nucleotides) under uncultured bacterium. Its description in RNAcentral is "bacterial SSU rRNA". It matches the Rfam family "Bacterial small subunit ribosomal RNA", at positions 434 to 793 of the family's 1533-position model. The record is from RNAcentral.